This 913-nucleotide ribosomal RNA is filed under the name uncultured bacterium. RNAcentral describes it as "bacterial SSU rRNA". It matches the Rfam family "Bacterial small subunit ribosomal RNA", at positions 84 to 998 of the family's 1533-position model. The record is from RNAcentral.
GAUGCUGACGACCGGCGCACGGGUGCGUAACGCGUAUAGAACCUACCUUAUAGUAAGGGAUAGCCCAGAGAAAUUUGGAUUAAUACCUUAUGGUAUGAUUGAUUGGCAUCGAUUGAUUAUUAAAGAUUUAUCGCUAUAAGAUGGCUAUGCGUUCUAUUAGCUAGUUGGUAUGGUAACGGCAUACCAAGGCUACGAUAGAUAGGGGUCCUGAGAGGGAGAUCCCCCACACUGGUACUGAGACACGGACCAGACUCCUACGGGAGGCAGCAGUGAGGAAUAUUGGACAAUGGAGGCAACUCUGAUCCAGCCAUGCCGCGUGUAGGAAGACUGCCCUAUGGGUUGUAAACUACUUUUAUAGAGGAAGAAACCGCUCUACGUGUAGAGCUCUGACGGUACUCUACGAAUAAGGAUCGGCUAACUCCGUGCCAGCAGCCGCGGUAAUACGGAGGAUCCAAGCGUUAUCCGGAAUCAUUGGGUUUAAGGGGUCCGUAGGCGGGUCUGUAAGUCAGUGGUGAAAGUUUUCGGCUCAACCGGAAAAUUGCCAUUGAUACUGCAGGUCUCGAAUGAUUAUGAAGUGGUUAGAAUAAGUAGUGUAGCGGUGAAAUGCAUAGAUAUUACUUAGAAUACCGAUUGCGAAGGCAGAUCACUAAUAAUAUAUUGACGCUAAGGGACGAAAGCGUGGGUAGCGAACAGGAUUAGAUACCCUGGUAGUCCACGCCGUAAGCGAUGGUUACUAGCUGUUCGGUUUUCGGACUGAGUGGCUAAGCGAAAGUGAUAAGUAACCCACCUGGGGAGUACGUUCGCAAGAAUGAAACUCAAAGGAAUUGACGGGGGCCCGCACAAGCGGUGGAGCAUGUGGUUUAAUUCGAUGAUACGCGAGGAACCUUACCAGGGCUUAAAUGUAGUAUGACAG